Molecule: ribosomal RNA, 1710 nt
Filed under: Escherichia coli
Lineage: Bacteria; Pseudomonadati; Pseudomonadota; Gammaproteobacteria; Enterobacterales; Enterobacteriaceae
Description: partial 23S ribosomal RNA
Rfam family: Bacterial large subunit ribosomal RNA
Source: RNAcentral
GGGUUGUGAGGUUAAGCGACUAAGCGUACACGGUGGAUGCCCUGGCAGUCAGAGGCGAUGAAGGACGUGCUAAUCUGCGAUAAGCGUCGGUAAGGUGAUAUGAACCGUUAUAACCGGCGAUUUCCGAAUGGGGAAACCCAGUGUGUUUCGACACACUAUCAUUAACUGAAUCCAUAGGUUAAUGAGGCGAACCGGGGGAACUGAAACAUCUAAGUACCCCGAGGAAAAGAAAUCAACCGAGAUUCCCCCAGUAGCGGCGAGCGAACGGGGAGGAGCCCAGAGCCUGAAUCAGUGUGUGUGUUAGUGGAAGCGUCUGGAAAGGCGCGCGAUACAGGGUGACAGCCCCGUACACAAAAAUGCACAUAUUGUGAGCUCGAUGAGUAGGGCGGGACACGUGGUAUCCUGUCUGAAUAUGGGGGGACCAUCCUCCAAGGCUAAAUACUCCUGACUGACCGAUAGUGAACCAGUACCGUGAGGGAAAGGCGAAAAGAACCCCGGCGAGGGGAGUGAAAAAGAACCUGAAACCGUGUACGUACAAGCAGUGGGAGCACGCUUAGGCGUGUGACUGCGUACCUUUUGUAUAAUGGGUCAGCGACUUAUAUUCUGUAGCAAGGUUAACCGAAUAGGGGAGCCGAAGGGAAACCGAGUCUUAACUGGGCGUUAAGUUGCAGGGUAUAGACCCGAAACCCGGUGAUCUAGCCAUGGGCAGGUUGAAGGUUGGGUAACACUAACUGGAGGACCGAACCGACUAAUGUUGAAAAAUUAGCGGAUGACUUGUGGCUGGGGGUGAAAGGCCAAUCAAACCGGGAGAUAGCUGGUUCUCCCCGAAAGCUAUUUAGGUAGCGCCUCGUGAAUUCAUCUCCGGGGGUAGAGCACUGUUUCGGCAAGGGGGUCAUCCCGACUUACCAACCCGAUGCAAACUGCGAAUACCGGAGAAUGUUAUCACGGGAGACACACGGCGGGUGCUAACGUCCGUCGUGAAGAGGGAAACAACCCAGACCGCCAGCUAAGGUCCCAAAGUCAUGGUUAAGUGGGAAACGAUGUGGGAAGGCCCAGACAGCCAGGAUGUUGGCUUAGAAGCAGCCAUCAUUUAAAGAAAGCGUAAUAGCUCACUGGUCGAGUCGGCCUGCGCGGAAGAUGUAACGGGGCUAAACCAUGCACCGAAGCUGCGGCAGCGACGCUGAUGCGUUGUUGGGUAGGGGAGCGUUCUGUAAGCCUGCGAAGGUGUGCUGUGAGGCAUGCUGGAGGUAUCAGAAGUGCGAAUGCUGACAUAAGUAACGAUAAAGCGGGUGAAAAGCCCGCUCGCCGGAAGACCAAGGGUUCCUGUCCAACGUUAAUCGGGGCAGGGUGAGUCGACCCCUAAGGCGAGGCCGAAAGGCGUAGUCGAUGGGAAACAGGUUAAUAUUCCUGUACUUGGUGUUACUGCGAAGGGGGGACGGAGAAGGCUAUGUUGGCCGGGCGACGGUUGUCCCGGUUUAAGCGUGUAGGCUGGUUUUCCAGGCAAAUCCGGAAAAUCAAGGCUGAGGCGUGAUGACGAGGCACUACGGUGCUGAAGCAACAAAUGCCCUGCUUCCAGGAAAAGCCUCUAAGCAUCAGGUAACAUCAAAUCGUACCCCAAACCGACACAGGUGGUCAGGUAGAGAAUACCAAGGCGCUUGAGAGAACUCGGGUGAAGGAACUAGGCAAAAUGGUGCCGUAACUUCGGGAGAA